CCUCUUUGCUGCUUGUAAUACACCGUGUUACAGAUUCCUCUGGAUUUCCUAGUUUGUGCCCAUAUACACUACAUACUGCUGGUCACAUUUUUUUCCCUUUAGUCCUGAGCUAAUCUAGGGACCUGGGAUAAUUCUAGAGCCUCUUCCCAGUAGAGCUCUCUGGCAGUGCUACACCUGAUUAUAAACUACUACCACUGUUCUUGUCAAAAUGCUUUUUACGUUUUCUUGUUUUACCUAAAAAGUUCACUCUUUCCUUCAAAAGGCUUCUCCCACCAGGACAGCAGCAUGAGGGCAGGCACAGCAGCUCAGCAGCAUGGCUUGGAUUAAACCCUUGCUGAAUGGUGGAGAGAGAAAGGGAGAAAGACAAGACUAUCUGUUUUGGGAUACUGCAGCCAAGAAGCCAACAGAAAGGUUUACUGAAAUGUUUACAUGCAGAAAAGAGAAAAAAACCCCACCAGAAUAAAGUUCAAGCUGAUGCCAACAAACUGUGUUUGGUACGGUACAGCCUGUUGCUCACAGCUGCAUUCAGAGGUGAUUCUGAUGGGAAGUUCCUCUCCUUUUAAGGCUGCCACAAAGGGAUGAUAUUUUGUCACUGAAUAUGAGGUUGCAGAGUCUUCAUCCUUGGAGAUAGUCAAAAGCUGUAUGGACAUGGUCCUAGAUCACCUGCCCUCGCUGACCCUGCUUGGGCAGGGCACUCAGACCAGAUGAUCUGCAGAGAUCCCUUUCAACCUCAAUGAUUCCAUCAUUCUGUGGUCUUCACUAACAAGAAUGAUUUGUGAUGUUGGAAGAAUGUGCUACUAAUCACUUACAACUGAAUCUUGUGAAUGUGAUGUACAAUAAAAAGGAAGCUAAGUAUUUUUAACA
RNAcentral lists this long non-coding RNA (864 nucleotides) under Parus major (Great Tit). Its description in RNAcentral is "lncRNA (ENSPMJG00000013673.1)". The record is from RNAcentral. Lineage: Eukaryota; Metazoa; Chordata; Aves; Passeriformes; Paridae.